RNAcentral lists this ribosomal RNA (593 nucleotides) under Micrococcus sp. SP063. RNAcentral describes it as "bacterial SSU rRNA". It matches the Rfam family "Bacterial small subunit ribosomal RNA", at positions 567 to 1157 of the family's 1533-position model. The record is from RNAcentral. Lineage: Bacteria; Bacillati; Actinomycetota; Actinomycetes; Micrococcales; Micrococcaceae.
GCUCGUAGGCGGUUUGUCGCGUCUGUCGUGAAAGUCCGGGGCUUAACCCCGGAUCUGCGGUGGGUACGGGCAGACUAGAGUGCAGUAGGGGAGACUGGAAUUCCUGGUGUAGCGGUGGAAUGCGCAGAUAUCAGGAGGAACACCGAUGGCGAAGGCAGGUCUCUGGGCUGUAACUGACGCUGAGGAGCGAAAGCAUGGGGAGCGAACAGGAUUAGAUACCCUGGUAGUCCAUGCCGUAAACGUUGGGCACUAGGUGUGGGGACCAUUCCACGGUUUCCGCGCCGCAGCUAACGCAUUAAGUGCCCCGCCUGGGGAGUACGGCCGCAAGGCUAAAACUCAAAGGAAUUGACGGGGGCCCGCACAAGCGGCGGAGCAUGCGGAUUAAUUCGAUGCAACGCGAAGAACCUUACCAAGGCUUGACAUGUUCUCGAUCGCCGUAGAGAUACGGUUUCCCCUUUGGGGCGGGUUCACAGGUGGUGCAUGGUUGUCGUCAGCUCGUGUCGUGAGAUGUUGGGUUAAGUCCCGCAACGAGCGCAACCCUCGUUCCAUGUUGCCAGCACGUAAUGGUGGGGACUCAUGGGAGACUGCCGGGG